UGUAAGCGUAUACCAAAGUUGUUGCAGUUAAAACGCUCGUAGUCGGACCUUGGCAGUUCCGGAAGUGUGCACGUCGUGUGCGCACUUUGCAGGGACUGCUUUUGUGGUCUUGCGUAGGAUGAGGCACUUUUAUUAGUGAACGUCCUCACGCAACCACUCUUUACUGUGAGAAAAUCAGAGUGCUCAAAGCAGGCAUUUGCCGUGAAUGUAUUAGCAUGGAAUAAUAGAAUAGGACUCGGUUCUAUUUUGUUGGUUUGUUGGGACUGAGUAAUGAUUAAGAGGGACAGUUGGGGGCAUUUGUAUUUCGGCGCUAGAGGUGAAAUUCUUAGAUUGCCGAAAGACAAACUGCUGCGAAAGCGUCUGCCAAGGAUGUUUUCAUUGA
Molecule: ribosomal RNA, 382 nt
Filed under: uncultured eukaryote
Lineage: Eukaryota
Description: partial 18S ribosomal RNA
Rfam family: Eukaryotic small subunit ribosomal RNA
Source: RNAcentral